Molecule: RNase P RNA, 314 nt
Filed under: Flavobacterium sp. SUN052
Lineage: Bacteria; Pseudomonadati; Bacteroidota; Flavobacteriia; Flavobacteriales; Flavobacteriaceae
Description: RNase P RNA component class A
Rfam family: Bacterial RNase P class A
About the family: Ribonuclease P (RNase P) is a ubiquitous endoribonuclease, found in archaea, bacteria and eukarya as well as chloroplasts and mitochondria. Its best characterised activity is the generation of mature 5'-ends of tRNAs by cleaving the 5'-leader elements of precursor-tRNAs.
Source: RNAcentral
ACCGCAGACCGCCUUAUCGCUGUUCAGAAAUGAAAAGAGGAAAGUCCGGACACCAAAGAGUAGCAUAGCGGAUAACAUCCGUCGUUCCGAUUUAUCGGAAAAGGACAAGUGCAACAGAAAGUAUGUACAGGUUAAGCUGUAGUGAAACCAGGUAAACUCUAUGCGGUGAAAUUUCAAGUAUAUCGACAUUUAAGGAUUACUCGUCCGUUGUCGAAGGGUAGAAAGAUGGAACUUGUGAGCAAUUGCAAGUCUAGAUAAAUGAUAAGGCAUCAAUUUAUUGGUGACAGAAUCCGGCUUAUAGGUCUGCUUUUUUA